CCUACGGGCGGCUGCAGUGGGGAAUAUUGGACAAUGGGGGGAACCCUGAUCCAGCCAUGCCGCGUGUGUGAAGAAGGCCCUCGGGUUGUAAAGCACUUUCAGUGAGGAAGAACGCCUGGUGGUUAAUACCCAUCAGGAAAGACAUCACUCACAGAAGAAGCACUGGCUAACUCCGUGCCAGCAGCCGCGGUAAUACGGAGGGUGCGAGCGUUAAUCGGAAUUACUGGGCGUAAAGCGCGCGUAGGUGGCUUGAUAAGCCGGUUGUGAAAGCCCCGGGCUCAACCUGGGAACGGCAUCCGGAACUGUCAAGCUAGAGUGCAGGAGAGGAAGGUAGAAUUCCCGGUGUAGCGGUGAAAUGCGUAGAGAUCGGGAGGAAUACCAGUGGCGAAGGCGGCCUUCUGGACUGACACUGACACUGAGGUGCGAAAGCGUGGGUAGCAAACAGGAUUAGAUACCCGAGUAGUC
This 465-nucleotide ribosomal RNA is filed under the name Vreelandella stevensii. Its description in RNAcentral is "partial 16S ribosomal RNA". It matches the Rfam family "Bacterial small subunit ribosomal RNA", at positions 338 to 795 of the family's 1533-position model. Lineage: Bacteria; Pseudomonadati; Pseudomonadota; Gammaproteobacteria; Oceanospirillales; Halomonadaceae. The record is from RNAcentral.